UAGCACUUUAGCGUCGACAUAGUGUCGCACUCUGUCGUCUGUUCUUUCCAGAUGCACUUUCUGAUUUCAUUCGAGUUGCCCAAAUACCCAGCUCUUUAUUGGUUCCCUUUCAUCCUUGGCCCAGACUGCGCAUGCGCGAACAUUCAACAGCGUUCUGUCUCAGAUAGACGCUAGGACUCGAGAGCACCAGCAUCAGGCAUGACUGAACAACGAAACGGUGGGCACACGCCCCCCGCGUUUGCGUUCAUGGACGAAGCAACCCCGGGUGCAAGCCGUGAAGGCCGCGAGGGUGCUUUAGGCACUUCCGACGAUUACACUACGGUAUACACGCAACACAGAAACCCGAAGCACUGGUUUUACACUUCCAGUCUACAGCGGCGGCAGCGGCAACGAUGCAGUGGCCAGUACAAGCCACGCUGGCGCGGAGGAAGCAUCGGGCAUUCCAGAAAACGAUGCUAGAAUUCUUGACGCCACCGGCGCUGAGCCAUGGACUAUCCAGUACUACUAGGCUUGUGGCACAACUACAGUCUACGAGAGCGCUGAUGUGCUGGCGGAAUGGUCGACUGAACCUGAGCUGCCGCUGAAGGUUCCGACCGGCCCGUUGGUCAGGGAGCUCAAGCUUUCCACGCUACACGACAAGGGAUCGUUCCCGAUUGCGGUGCUCGCUUUUGAGCGCCGCGGAGAUGUACCUGUGCGGCCGCGGCCUCCAAGAUCCCAACCUCGUCAGCACCUCUCAUUCUCGGAGGCCUUACCUGAGCGGCCGGCGACACGCCCCGACGAGCCGAAACGAGGAGGAAAGACGAUAUGACCACUGCCGAAGGAUGACGCAGGGGCGCUCGUCUCGGCGUCUGUGCAAAACGAUAAUUACAAGCUGGCGGUGGUUUAGUGCGGAGGAAGCCUUUCGAAAAAUGCGAAUAAAUUUGGAAACUAUAACUUCAGCGAG
Molecule: non-coding RNA, 943 nt
Organism: Dermacentor andersoni
Lineage: Eukaryota; Metazoa; Arthropoda; Arachnida; Ixodida; Ixodidae
Source: RefSeq, a predicted model, not a curated record